Molecule: long non-coding RNA, 589 nt
Filed under: Populus trichocarpa (black cottonwood)
Lineage: Eukaryota; Viridiplantae; Streptophyta; Magnoliopsida; Malpighiales; Salicaceae
Description: long non-coding RNA (PTRI_LNC001070)
Source: RNAcentral
AGGGAAAAAAGCAAAAAUUGCAGUGCCUCUUUUUCUCCACUGUAGCUAAAGCUAUAGCUACAAAAAAGUUGUCUUCUACACGCUCCAUUAUGCAGUUGCAGAGGCUAGUGGAUACUAGCUACCAUCACAGAACAGAUAUGCCAUAGCUCUGCAAAAGUUCUCCCUCGUGGAAAAUUAACUGUAAAGAUCAGUUUGGGUGAUGCUCGAUCUAGCUAGCUAGACCCACAAUUAGACCCCAAGUAUUAAGAGUUAAAUCAAACGGCUAUCAAAGAUCUCACAAUCAUACAACACUUGAAACAAAAAUUUGAAAAAAGGUUUUAAUCAGAUCGCAGAUUAAAAAAAUUUCAUCUAAUUUAAGUUAGAUCCGAAUUCAGAAAAUCAUCGAGUUAGCAUACUCGACCGGCAGAUUGAAUAUCAUACCUUAUUUGUAAAUUGCCUUGGUGGGUCCAUAUAGCAACCACAUGUAUACAAGGUGCAUCCAAUUUUUAGCACAACAAAAAAGUAAUAUCAAAAUGCUUAGCUUGUUUCCCACUUUAACCAUUGUCGAAGAAAGUCUUCAAGUAAAUCCAAAGGAUUUAUUAUACAAUAA